Molecule: small RNA, 27 nt
Filed under: Bombyx mori (domestic silkworm)
Lineage: Eukaryota; Metazoa; Arthropoda; Insecta; Lepidoptera; Bombycidae
Description: ovarian small RNA-34015
Source: RNAcentral
UGCGUGCAUAUUCUGUAACAGCUCUAU